CCUACGGGUGGCUGCAGUGGGGAAUAUUGGACAAUGGGCGCAAGCCUGACGCAGCAACGCCGCGUGAAUGAAGAAGGCCCUCGGGUUGUAAACUACUUUUAUUCGGGACGAAACAAAUGACGGUAACGAAUGCAUCAACCGCCGCUAACUGCGUGCCAGGAGCCGGGGUAAUACGUAGUUGGCAAGCGUUAACCGGAUUUAGUGGGUGUAAAGGGCGGGUAGGCGGGAGGGUAAGUCAGAUGUGAAAUUCCAGGGCUCAACCCUGGAACUGCGUGUGAUACUGGUAUUAUUGAGUGUUGGAGAGGCAGGUAGAAUUCCAGGUGUAGCGGUGAAAUGCGUAGAUAUCCGGAGGAAGACCAGUGGCGAAGGCGGCCUGCUGGACAUUAACUGACGCUGAGGUGCGAAAGCGUGGGGAGCAAACAGGAUUAGAUACCCCGGUAGUC
Molecule: ribosomal RNA, 443 nt
Filed under: uncultured bacterium
Lineage: Bacteria
Description: partial 16S ribosomal RNA
Rfam family: Bacterial small subunit ribosomal RNA
Source: RNAcentral